This 460-nucleotide ribosomal RNA is filed under the name uncultured bacterium. Its description in RNAcentral is "partial 16S ribosomal RNA". It matches the Rfam family "Bacterial small subunit ribosomal RNA", at positions 338 to 795 of the family's 1533-position model. The record is from RNAcentral.
CCUACGGGUGGCUGCAGUGAGGAAUAUUGGUCAAUGGACGAGAGUCUGAACCAGCCAAGUAGCGUGAAGGAUGACUGCCCUAUGGGUUGUAAACUUCUUUUAUAUGGGAAUAAAAUGUUCUAUGUGUGGGAUUUUGCAUGUACCUUAUGAAUAAGGAUCGGCUAACUCCGUGCCAGCAGCCGCGGUAAUACGGAGGAUCCGAGCGUUAUCCGGAUUUAUUGGGUUUAAAGGGGGCGUAGGUGGAUUGUUAAGUCAGUUGUGAAAGUUUGCGGCUCAACCGUAAAAUUGCAGUUGAAACUGGCAGUCUUGAGUACAGUAGAGGUAGGCGGAAUUCGUGGUGUAGCGGUGAAAUGCUUAGAUAUCACGAAGAACUCCGAUUGCGAAGGCAGCUUGCUGGACUGCAACUGACGCUGAGGCUCGAAAGUGUGGGGAUCAAACAGGAUUAGAUACCCGGGUAGUC